GCCAAAAUUAGAGUAACAUGCUGACACAGCUCUUGUCCAGGAAUACCAGAAUCCUUGGAGAAUCUGCUGGUAAAGAUUCACCCAUUAGUGCCCAGAUCAGAAACAUGC
RNAcentral lists this small nucleolar RNA (108 nucleotides) under Microcebus murinus (gray mouse lemur). RNAcentral describes it as "Small nucleolar RNA SNORA3/SNORA45 family (ENSMICG00000025295.3)". The record is from RNAcentral. Lineage: Eukaryota; Metazoa; Chordata; Mammalia; Primates; Cheirogaleidae.